AGCGGCGAGCGAACGGGGAGCAGCCCAGAGCCUGAAUCAGUGUGUGUGUUAGUGGAAGCGUCUGGAAAGGCGCGCGAUACAGGGUGACAGCCCCGUACACAAAAAUGCACAUGCUGUGAGCUCGAUGAGUAGGGCGGGACACGUGGUAUCCUGUCUGAAUAUGGGGGGACCAUCCUCCAAGGCUAAAUACUCCUGACUGACCGAUAGUGAACCAGUACCGUGAGGGAAAGGCGAAAAGAACCCCGGCGAGGGGAGUGAAAAAGAACCUGAAACCGUGUACGUACAAGCAGUGGGAGCACGCUUAGGCGUGUGACUGCGUACCUUUUGUAUAAUGGGUCAGCGACUUAUAUUCUGUAGCAAGGUUAACCGAAUAGGGGAGCCGAAGGGAAACCGAGUCUUAACUGGGCGUUAAGUUGCAGGGUAUAGACCCGAAACCCGGUGAUCUAGCCAUGGGCAGGUUGAAGGUUGGGUAACACUAACUGGAGGACCGAACCGACUAAUGUUGAAAAAUUAGCGGAUGACUUGUGGCUGGGGGUGAAAGGCCAAUCAAACCGGGAGAUAGCUGGUUCUCCCCGAAAGCUAUUUAGGUAGCGCCUCGUGAAUUCAUCUCCGGGGGUAGAGCACUGUUUCGGCAAGGGGGUCAUCCCGACUUACCAACCCGAUGCAAACUGCGAAUACCGGAGAAUGUUAUCACGGGAGACACACGGCGGGUGCUAACGUCCGUCGUGAAGAGGGAAACAACCCAGACCGCCAGCUAAGGUCCCAAAGUCAUGGUUAAGUGGGAAACGAUGUGGGAAGGCCCAGACAGCCAGGAUGUUGGCUUAGAAGCAGCCAUCAUUUAAAGAAAGCGUAAUAGCUCACUGGUCGAGUCGGCCUGCGCGGAAGAUGUAACGGGGCUAAACCAUGCACCGAAGCUGCGGCAGCGACGCUUAUGCGUUGUUGGGUAGGGGAGCGUUCUGUAAGCCUGUGAAGGUGUGCUGUGAGGCAUGCUGGAGGUAUCAGAAGUGCGAAUGCUGACAUAAGUAACGAUAAAGCGGGUGAAAAGCCCGCUCGCCGGAAGACCAAGGGUUCCUGUCCAACGUUAAUCGGGGCAGGGUGAGUCGACCCCUAAGGCGAGGCCGAAAGGCGUAGUCGAUGGGAAACAGGUUAAUAUUCCUGUACUUGGUGUUACUGCGAAGGGGGGACGGAGAAGGCUAUGUUGGCCGGGCGACGGUUGUCCCGGUUUAAGCGUGUAGGCUGGUUUUCC
RNAcentral lists this ribosomal RNA (1246 nucleotides) under Escherichia coli. Its description in RNAcentral is "partial 23S ribosomal RNA". It matches the Rfam family "Bacterial large subunit ribosomal RNA", at positions 245 to 1534 of the family's 2925-position model. The record is from RNAcentral. Lineage: Bacteria; Pseudomonadati; Pseudomonadota; Gammaproteobacteria; Enterobacterales; Enterobacteriaceae.